This 295-nucleotide unclassified non-coding RNA is filed under the name fungal sp. Its description in RNAcentral is "partial internal transcribed spacer region". The stretch from base 1 to 46 matches the Rfam family "Eukaryotic small subunit ribosomal RNA", at positions 1786 to 1831 of the family's 1831-position model. Lineage: Eukaryota; Fungi. The record is from RNAcentral.
AAGUCGUAACAAGGUUUCCGUAGGUGAACCUGCGGAAGGAUCAUUACAAAUUUGGUCUUUACCGACCAUCUCAACCAACUGUUGUGCAACCUACCCGCGACUGGUGCUAACCGACGUGCGUGACGAGCUGUACCUUAACCGGUCCUUCUUGACACGUGCCAAGGUGAUCACCGUCAUUUGUUUACCAAACCUUUUUUUAAAUUAACCUACACCGAUCUCGAGCUCAGUAUUGGGCGUAGACAGAUUAAACACACACACACAAACACAACUUUUAGCAACGGAUCUCUAGGCUCUC